GACGAACGCUGGCGGCGUGCUUAACACAUGCAAGUCGAACGGAAAGGCCCUGCUUUUGUGGGGUGCUUGAUUGGCGAACGGGUGAGUAACACGUGAGUAACCUGCACUUGACUUUGGGAUAACUUCAGGAAACUGGGGCUAAUACCGGAUAGGAGCUCCUGCUGCAUGGUGGGGGAUGGAAAGAUUCGGCGGUUGGGGAUGGACUAGCGGCUUAUCAGCUUGUUGGGGGGGUAGUGGCGUACCAAGGCUUUGAAGGGUAGCCGGCCUGGGAGGGUGACCGGCCACAUGGGGACUGAGAUACGGCCCAGUCUCCUACGGGCGGCAGCGGUGGGGAAUAUUGCACAAUGGGCGGAAGCGUGAUGCGGCAGCGCCGCGUGCGUGAUGACGGCUUUCGAGUUGUAAACCGCUUUCGCCUGUGACGAAGCGUUAGUGACGGUAAUGGGUAAAGAAGCACCGGCUAACUACGUG
This 468-nucleotide ribosomal RNA is filed under the name uncultured bacterium. RNAcentral describes it as "partial 16S ribosomal RNA". It matches the Rfam family "Bacterial small subunit ribosomal RNA", at positions 28 to 507 of the family's 1533-position model. The record is from RNAcentral.